Molecule: ribosomal RNA, 567 nt
Filed under: uncultured bacterium
Lineage: Bacteria
Description: bacterial SSU rRNA
Rfam family: Bacterial small subunit ribosomal RNA
Source: RNAcentral
CCUUUAUGGUGCGUCGCUUAGCGAAAGCGUUAAGUAUCCCACCUGGGGAGUACGCCGGCAACGGUGAAACUCAAAGGAAUUGACGGGGGCCCGCACAAGCGGAGGAACAUGUGGUUUAAUUCGAUGAUACGCGAGGAACCUUACCCGGGCUUGAAUUGCGACUGACUGCAUCAGAGAUGAUGUUUCCAGCAAUGGCAGUCGUGAAGGUGCUGCAUGGUAGUCGUCAGCUCGUGCCGUGAGGUGUCGGCUUAAGUGCCAUAACGAGCGCAACCCUUUUCCCUGUUUGCCAUCGGGUAAUGCCGGGCACUCCAGGGAUACUGCCAUCGUAAGAUGUGAGGAAGGUGGGGAUGACGUCAAAUCAGCACGGCCCUUACGUCCGGGGCUACACACGUGUUACAAUGGGCGGCACAGAGGGCAGCGACCGCGCGAGCGGCAGCCAAUCCCGAAAUCCGCUCUCAGUUCGGACUGGAGUCUGCAACCCGACUCCACGAAGCUGGAUUCGCUAGUAAUCGCGCAUCAGCCAUGGCGCGGUGAAUACGUUCCCGGGCCUUGCACACACCGCCCGUC